AACGUAGGAGGCGAGCGUUAUCCGGAUUCACUGGGCGUAAAGCGCGUGCAGGCGGUUCGUUAAGUUGGGCGUGAAAUCUCCUGGCUUAACUAGGAGAGGUCGUUCAAUACUAUCGGACUAGAGAGUGGUAGAGGAAGAUGGAAUUCCCGGUGUAGUGGUGAAAUGCGUAGAUAUCGGGAGGAACACCAGUGGCGAAAGCGAUCUUCUGGACCAUUUCUGACGCUCAGACGCGAAAGCUAGGGUAGUAAACGGG
RNAcentral lists this ribosomal RNA (253 nucleotides) under uncultured bacterium. Its description in RNAcentral is "partial 16S ribosomal RNA". It matches the Rfam family "Bacterial small subunit ribosomal RNA", at positions 524 to 776 of the family's 1533-position model. The record is from RNAcentral.